This is a long non-coding RNA of Branchiostoma belcheri (Belcher's lancelet), 1312 nucleotides long. RefSeq lists it as uncharacterized. The record is from RefSeq and is a predicted model, not a curated record. The transcript has 5 exons. NCBI's taxonomy places the organism in Eukaryota, Metazoa, Chordata, Leptocardii, Amphioxiformes, Branchiostomatidae.
AGAUCCUAAGCUGACACAAAGAAUCUGAAGAAAGGUUAGGUCAUCUGAAGAAAAAGACUUGAAGAAGGGGGCAACUGGAGUUCAAGGUCAAGAUUUAAGAACAGACAAGACGUCUAGAAGAUCCUGAGACACUAGCCAAGACAUCUGAAGACCCAUCAGGCUGCCAGAAGCCGUCUUGUUUCUGUUGAGGUGUUUGUUUACCAGCGUCACCGUGGCGACUCGGAAACUGUUCUCCAUGAAGAUGAGUGAGACCUGGGUCUGCUUCUCCUGCUGUUACACCGAACAGCCGCAGCCGAGGAGAAAAAGAAUAGACCGGUCGAUGAUAGGCCAACCUACAAACUUUGUCCACACGGGACACAUAGGCCACGGGGACAUGGCUGGCAAUCAUAUCAAUUCGGUGCAGCUGCAAAUGAGAUCGAAGGGAGGCUACGAUCACUCGUCACCGGUCAACAACUACCAGAUCAGAGCAGUAGCCGUGGGGGAGCUUAAUAACCAUAACUAGAUUGCAAGAAGCAAGUCAGAUAGGAAUACGUUGAGAAAACUCAGUGCAGUUGGACUUACUACUGUGUACCAGCCACUACGUAUGUUUCCUAGGAUAUCCUCAUCCCUGCAUCUUCAAACAAUCUCCAAAGACAAGACUUUUCCGAAGCGUAGUUUGGGAAAUAUACUGUCAUCAAGAUGCCUUCAAGUUGGAUUUUACUACAGCGCCACACUGUGUUUGGGAAAGGAACUGCAGCACAUGUCUCUGCCAUACAUAGAGGGAAAAAACAUGAGAUUGCUACCUGUACAUAAAAAUGCUUUGAAAAUUUUAAUACAAGGACUGCAUGAGGUUAAUGAUAUUAUGCAGGUGAGCCUGCAGUUUUAAUCGGAAGAGAUAGGGGGCAUUAUUGUGAAGAGAUAUAAGAUUUUAGAUUUUCAUACAUGUACGUUGUACUUGUCUUUCGCUGCUUGCUUUGCUGAGUUUCAUUGCACUACCUUUUUUGGAAGGCAAAGGCAUAUGAAAUAUCAUAGCAGUUGGUUUUAAACUCCAUACUUCUGUGUAUUCUGUGUCCAUGUGUAACUUGUAUAUCUACAUUCCUUGAUUUUUUACAUGGUAAAUUUAUAUGUGCAUUAUCCUCCAUGUUUUUCAUGUCGUUUUUAACCGUUUUCUUGUCAAUUUUAUCACAUUUUACAUGUGUAUUGUGUUGUUUAAGUGUUACUGAAAGAAAGGCUUGUUGGGGUCUGUGAAUAUAUGGUGUAGGAGUGGCCUUUAUUUUUGUCUCCAAGCAGAUGUUGGGGGAGUUGCUCCAUUGUUUUAAAGGCAUCCAGUGCA